GAUGAACGCUAGCUACAGGCUUAACACAUGCAAGUCGAGGGGAAACGAUAUUGGAAGCUUGCUUCCGAUAGGCGUCGACCGGCGCACGGGUGAGUAACGCGUAUCCAACCUGCCCACCACUUGGGGAUAACCUUGCGAAAGUAAGACUAAUACCCAAUGAUAUCUCUAGAAGACAUCUGAAGGAGAUUAAAGAUUCAUCGGUGAUGGAUGGGGAUGCGUCUGAUUAGCUUGUUGGCGGGGUAACGGCCCACCAAGGCGACGAUCAGUAGGGGUUCUGAGCGGAAGGUCCCCCACAUUGGAACUGAGACACGGUCCAAACACCUACGGGAGGCAGCAGUGAGGAAUAUUGGUCAAUGGGCGAGAGCCUGAACCAGCCAAGUAGCGUGCAGGAUGACGGCCCUAUGGGUUGUAAACUGCUUUUAUAAGGGAAUAAAGUGAGUCUCGUGAGACUUUUUGCAUGUACCUUAUGAAUAAGGACCGGCUAAUUCCGUGCCAGCCGCCGCCGUAA
Molecule: ribosomal RNA, 508 nt
Filed under: uncultured bacterium
Lineage: Bacteria
Description: partial 16S ribosomal RNA
Rfam family: Bacterial small subunit ribosomal RNA
Source: RNAcentral